UACGUAGGGGCCGAGCGUUGUCCGGAGUUAUUGGGCGUAAAGCGCGCGCAGGCGGCCUCGCGCGCCCGACGUGAAAGCCCCCGGCUUAACCGGGGAGGGUCGUUGGGGACGGCGGGGCUUGAGGGCGGGAGAGGGUGGUGGAAUUCCCGGUGUAGUGGUGAAAUGCGUAGAGAUCGGGAGGAACACCCGUGGCGAAGGCGGCCACCUGGGCCGACACUGACGCUGAGGCGCGAAGGCGUGGGGAGCGAACGGG
This 253-nucleotide ribosomal RNA is filed under the name uncultured bacterium. RNAcentral's name for it is "partial 16S ribosomal RNA". It matches the Rfam family "Bacterial small subunit ribosomal RNA", at positions 524 to 776 of the family's 1533-position model. The record is from RNAcentral.